This 337-nucleotide long non-coding RNA is filed under the name Homo sapiens (human). RNAcentral's name for it is "non-protein coding lnc-ZRSR2-4:1". The record is from RNAcentral. Lineage: Eukaryota; Metazoa; Chordata; Mammalia; Primates; Hominidae.
GCUCCCAUAUGCCUUUCUCCACUCAUGCCUCAAAAGGAGAAACCAAGACCACUUUCUCCUCUGAGACAGGCAGAGACAUCAGCCUUUCUGGGCUUGCUGAAGAAGGGAGAAAAAAAACUACAAGAAGCUAUUGAACAUAUUGAUGAAGUAAAAAAUGAAAUAGAUUUAAUGAACUAGCCAGUGAGAAGAUUUUGACAGUAGAACAGAAAUAUAACAAACUCUGCCAACCAUUUUUUCAGAAGAGGUCAGAAUUGAUCCCCCAAAUCCCAAAUUUUGGGGUAACAGCAUUUGUCAUCUGUAAGUGUCUGCACUGCUUGGGGAAGAGGAAGAAGAGGCA